UGACCCACAAGGCUCCUGCCCCCAAAGUCCUUCCACAUCCGGGGUGCACCAUGUCCCCUCCUGCCCACUGAGGAGGGGGAUGUGUCGUGUCUAGGAAGAGCCAGCCCGCAGCCCCGCUCGGGGUACUGGGAGAAGCCGCCGGAGGGGCACGUGCCUGCCAAGAGCUGGCUGCACCGCAGUCAAAUAAAUAAAAC
Gavialis gangeticus (Gharial) is the source of this 194-nucleotide long non-coding RNA. RefSeq lists it as uncharacterized. The record is from RefSeq and is a predicted model, not a curated record. The transcript has 3 exons. NCBI's taxonomy places the organism in Eukaryota, Metazoa, Chordata, Crocodylia, Gavialidae.